AUAGGACUUCCGGGAGGGCGUGAGUGCUGCUGCUUGUUAUUCUUGGGGUCGGCAUUAUGCUGAUUGUCGGGUUGGAGCAAAGGGGAGGGACCCUUGGGACUUGGCUCUGUUUCCUGAGCAGGUGGAAGAGCCCAGGCCUCCAGCUAUGCAAUUGCUUUGGCCGUAGCCGUCGCUAGUUCCUCUUGCCGCCGUGAACUGAGUGCCUGCUGUGCCAGCAGAAAGCAGAAGGCGCCAGGCCCCUGGGAGCCUGCGUUCUAGUCAGUGAGAUGCUACGCAAGUGAUUCAGGUCUAACCACAUGUGAUUACAGUUAGGAAGGGGGUCGGUGGCUAACGAGGUGGUGCUGAUUUAGCCUGUGUUUGGGGAGGGCUUCUGUGAUACGUUUCAGCUGAGCCCUAAAGGAUGCCAAGGAGCUGGGCCUGGAAGAGCACCCCAGGCAGCUGGCUCAGCAAGUGCAAAGGCAGGAGUGGGUCUACUGUGUCCACGGAGUGGCUGAAGUGUCAGAGCUGGGGUGUGGGGUGCAGACACUUUGUGGGGGCCCAGUUUUGCCCUAGGAGCAAUUGGAGGCUGCUAAGCAAGGGAGCGACUUUCUCCAGCUGUCCUCGGGGGAAAUGGAUUGGAGGGCAGGUUUGGCUGCCAGGACGCUGGAGCCCAGCUGGGGCCCUCUGCUCAGCCUGAGCUCCCCUGACCAGCAAGCAGCCUCUGCAUGGGGAGAGGCUGGUGCCCCAGCACGCCCACUGCAGCACUGCCCGAACCACGGCCAGCCAGCAGUGCCCUCUGACUCAGGCACUCAAGGGUGGAGCCAGCCUUCCUAGCUGGCCUGGCCCUGCCCCAGGGAAGGCCUGCCAACCUCGGGGGUCCCCGGUCUGCCACGGUCUCGGUGUGGAAAAGGCCUUUCAGUCACACAGGUUUUUGCAUUGGCUGCACUGGGUCUCCCACCACGGGCCCACCUCCUUUAUUAAUGCCUGAGGCGAGCCUUCAAACACCUUUAUUUAUUAAUGCCUGGGUCCUUCCCUUCAAACACCUUUAGUCUCCCUAGAGUCUGGCCUCCCACUGCCAGCUGCGGCUGCCUCCCUGCUGCGGCAGCCCCAACCCUGGCAGAGGACCACGCGGGGGGAAAAUGGAGCUUGGGCUACCUGAUGGAGUGAGUAGCACCACAGAACCCGGGGGAGCCUGCUGCUCUGCCGCAGCUGCUGUUUCUGAUGCUCCGGAGCCGUAGUGCCUGCCUUCUCCGGUACAGACGCUGGUAAGUGACUCAGGCCCUCGUCCCCAGAAGCUGCACGGUUUUCUGCGCGGACACUGGGUAGGAGAGGUGGAAUUCGAGGGUAGGAUCCUGGCUCUCACAAACUGCUGGGUGCCCUCAGGCAAGUCCCGUUCAUCUGAGCCCCAGGUUCCUAAAGGGGGGAGUACCUGGCCUAUAUGGCCCCUGACACGGGUAUUUGGGCGCUGCGCUGGGAAGCUCCCUGCCCGGAAUCUAAAUCACUUCUGCCCCAGCAGGCUGGAUUCAGGAAGUCCCCGAGUUCCUCACCGCCCACCCCCAGUUCAGGGCUGGGCUGGACUCGGGGGGUAGCUGGACUCUGCCAGGCUGUGUUUAACCGGCAGCAGAACCAUGGGCUGGCAUUGUGCCUCCUGGCCGCAAGGCUCGGCUGAGCCCCCUGGGGCAGGCAGGGGGCGCCCGCACGCCCAGGGACAGGCGCCAACCCGGCCUGGAGCUGACGGUGGGAAGCCGGCGCGGCUGUGCUCCCGAAGAGGCGCGGGGGAAGGCGGAGGGCAGUAUAAUUGCUAGGGCUUUCCCUGCCCUCUUCUAGACGCGCAGUUUGAGUCCAGACUCCACAGGCUGCACCGCCUGCAGGUAGCGCCCCAACCCCGCAGGCGCCGCGCGUCUGGGAACCCGAAUCCGAAUCUGCGCUCGGCUCGUGCGGGCUCGGUUGUCGCGUUGCAUCUUGGGCCUUGUGGUUUUCUAGGAUCGUGGGCGGUGCCGGUUCGGGGUGCGCGGCUGUUGGGUGACAGCUGGGCGCGAACCGCCUUCCCCUUUGCGCACGCCCCUCCCGCUUCGCAACGACGCCUCUGAGCGUCGCGAUGGGCUCGGCCCCGGCGCGGGUCAGCGAUUGGCGGAGGAGCGGGGCCCAGGGGCGCGGCUUCCCGCGGAUUGGUUGGGUGCGGCGGGGCGGGCCCGCGCAUGCACUUAAGGGGCGGUGUCUGGGCGGCGGUGGGUAGUGCCAAGAUGUCGACCGUGGCAGUCCCGGAGCUGAAGCAGAUCAGCCGGGUGGAGGCGAUGCGUCUUGGGCCGGGCUGGAGCCAUUCGUGCCACGCCAUGCUGUACGCUGCAAACCCCGGGCAGCUCUUCGGCCGCAUCCCUAUGCGCUUCUCGGUGCUGAUGCAGAUGCGUUUCGACGGGCUGCUGGGCUUUCCCGGGGGCUUCGUGGACCGGCGCUUCUGGUCAUUGGAGGACGGACUGAACCGGGUGCUGGGCCUGGGCCUGGGCUGCCUGCGCCUCACGGAGGCAGACUACUUAAGCUCACACCUGACCGAGGGCCCGCACCGCGUCGUGGCGCACCUGUACGCGCGGCAGCUGACGCUGGAGCAGCUGCACGCCGUGGAGAUCAGCGCGGUGCACUCGCGCGACCACGGCCUGGAGGUGGGGCCGCCGCCCGGGCCCCGCCCCCCGCCCCGGGGUUUGGCUCUGGCCCCGCGGAAGGCACCGAUGGGUGCUGGGACUUGUGCGUGUCCCACUGUACACCCAGAAGGACCGAGUUGGUGGCUUUCCCAACUUCCUGAGCAACGCUUUCAUCAGCACAGCCAAGUACCAGCUCCUCUUUGCCCUCAAGGUGCUCAAUAUGAUGCCGGAGGAAAAGCUGGCUGAGGCCUUGGCUGCAGCCACGGAAAAGCAGAAGAAGGCCCUGGAGAAGCUGCUCCCAUCUUCCUCCUGAGCACAGGCUGAAGGUGCCGCAAGGAGAUGGUCUGGCAGCACUGGCUGGAUGCGCAGGAUGCCAACGGCAGAGCCCCCAGGGCAGGAAGGUCAGCACGGGCCGUCUCUUCGACACUGUCCAGAAAGACGCCUCAGUGACGCUGACAGUCCCCACGGCGCCAGCCUGGCCUGGUAAGGAACUCAGUGCUCCCGGCCCUGCCCAGUGCCCCACCUUAGAGCCUCAACGGGGCGGCAGACACGCGUGGGCGAGGGCACCUUGCUCUGUAAAUAAAACACCUGCACCCUGCCUGUUUUCCAGGACGUGCUUUGCUCUCCGAGUAGCUUUCUGGGACCAUGGGGGCUCUGACACAGGUGGCCCUCCACACAGAGGGAUAAGUGGGACAUCGGGGGUCGCCCGGUUGGCCCCAUGCUGAGCACGGGGUUGAGGGCCCUGGCGGGGCUUCCUCUUGGUGUGGCUGAGCAGCUGGUGCUGCAGGCUGAGUGACCAGACCCGAACCCCUCACCAGCCUAUCUUAAAUUUUAUUUUCCAGCAAAUGACAUAUGUUGCACAGGUGCCUGGUCCUCACCCAUCUGGGCGGACCUCUGUGUGGCGCCUGCGGUGUCUGGGGACAUGCUCCCCCAAGCCCUGCCUGCUCUGGGCCCUAUGCCCAGGUUUGGGACCAGAGGCCCUGGUCCCGCCUCGGUGUGGGCCUCGCUGCCCUUGCUCGCACCAGUCACAGCCCCGUCCUGCCUCUGUCUGCUGGCCGCUCCUGGGGCCCGGUCCUCUGGCCCUGGCCGCUGCAGCCGCUCGUUCACUGCCCUCCUGUCCUCCGGGCUCACGGCUUCAGGGUGGAUCAGUCACCCCAUGUCAGAUUCUGAGGAGGGAAGGGAAGGUGUGAGGGAGUGCUCACUCCGCCAUGCGGCGUCCCAGCGUCCUAGGCCGACACUCACCGUCCCCCCGGCUAAGGCUCCCGCCAGUUCUCCCUCCCAUUCAGCACCUGCAGCUUCUCCAGACUCUGGGUCACGGAGCACAGCACUCGCCCUGCGGCCACGAACAGACAGUUAGCGCUCUGCAAGUCCGGGGGGCUGGGGGCACGGGCAGGGGCAAGGUGUGGGCUCGGACUCACCCAUCUCCCGGACGCGGUCCUCGAGGGCUCCCGCCAGCUCCGCGAGGCUCAGGGCCCGCAGGGAGGCCUGCCAGCCUCUGGGGUCUGCAGGGCGGAGGGCUGGGUGGGCCUGGGGUCUGCGUGCCCAAAGGCCCCGCCCCAUCUUCCCAAGUCACCCCCUUGGUCAGCGUGUUCUCCUCCUGCCUGCAGAGGACCCUGCCCCGGGGUGGCCUAGCCCGGGGCUGCACAAGUCCCUUGAGCUCUUGGACUGGCAGCCACGGCCCGGAGGCCCCCACGAGGGACAGCACAGACACGUGUGGGCUUGGGCGCGUGAGGGGACCUGGGUGUCGGUGUGUGAUGACCACGCCGAGACGAGGGGAGAACCCGGCCAGGGGACGCUGCUCUCCUUACCCGCUGUGGGGAGGGCUGGGCCCGUGGCCGCCCCGAGUGGGGGCCCGUCCUGCUGCACUCGGGCUGAAAGCUCAGCUUGACAGGCUCUGCGGGACGUGAAACCCAGCACCGGUCAGGGGAGGCCUGGCGAGGGCGGACACCUCCUCCGAGGACGAGGUGGGUUCACGCCGUGAGGCCGCGCCGAGAAGGCCCUGCACAAGGCGUGCAGGUUCUCGGGCCCCUCUGCCGCCGGGUCUGCCCUACAAGGAGGAACGGCCGGAGUGAAGUGGCGGGGCAGGGGGACCCCAGGAGGCCCUGAAAACGACCCGGAGCUUGAAGAACCUGGAGCAAAGAGGGACUCGCCUGGCUCUGGCCCACGUGGGCAGCCUGGAUGCUCACUCACCGCAGCUGGUCCAGGACAAGAGCGGCGUCCCGGGCGAGGGCCCGGCUCUCUUGCAGCUGCGUGUCAACGUCCUUGCGGGCGCUGUCCUGCUCAAGGAGGCAGCUUUCCACCACGGCCCGCAGCUCCUGCUCCUGCGACACCUGGCCCCGCAUGGCCUCCACCUCCUCACAGCGCUGCAGCGGGAAAGGGGGCAGGCGGGGCUGGGUGAGCAGGCAGCAGGCACAGGGACACCAGGCUACAACUGCUGGGCUGGGUGCCCCAGCCCACGUUAGGUGUCCGUCCGCCUGCCACCCUCUCCUGGCCCAAGGCGGCCUGUCUCCACCUGGAGCCUCCCCUGCUCUGGGGCCUCCCUGCGAGCUGCGCUGCCACCCGCUGCCUUCACCCUCCCUCCUCUCUGUGCAUGGCUGAGCCUUCGUCUGCCACCUUCCUGCCACCUCCCUGGCCGUGUCCUCUGCACACAGCCCACUCGCCAUCUCCGCGCGCACUGACCUUGUGCAGCUGGAUGGCGAGCUCCUGCAUCUCGGCUUCCAGCCGGUCGGCAUAGGCCAGCUCCAGGGCAUCACUCGGGGGGCGGGCGCUGCUGUGCCAGCGGGCGAUGGCAGAGGUCAUCUUCCUCUUGGGCCCAAACAAGCUGCAGCAGGAAUGAGGACACAGCUCAGCACACGGAGGCUCCACAGGCUGUCCUCGAGCAAGACCAACGCCUGGGAAGAGCCCAGCUUUGAUGGGAGAGAAGCCCCCAGGCCCCAGGGCAGAGUAUCAUGAGGCAUCGUAACCCCGCCCGGCUGCCUUCAUGGGACAGGGAGCUGGGGCCACCAGCCCCAGGCUGUGGACACCCAUCUGCCAACUUGGGACCCUUUCAAGAGUGGGUGGGAAACACCGAGGUACCCUACGCCCGGCUACAUCCGCCAGGCCAGCUCGGGGCCCCGGGGGUGGAGGAGUGCUGGGCGCAGGCAGAGCGCUGUCUCUCGGUCCGGAAGCUGCUCCCGGGCCUCCUGGUCACCCCCUCCCACUCACGUGAUGCCAAUUUCCUUCAGGUCGCUCUCGGUGAGGGUCAGAAAGAUGCGGAGGUCCACGUCCUGCUCCUCGAACACCUGCAGGUACUUCAGACAGCCGAUCUGCUCCAGCAGCGCGGCCAGGUCCUGGAGGGUGAGGAGCCAAGAUGUGAGCGAGGACAGGGACACGGGGACAAGACAAGACAGGCACUGAAGGGAGAGCCGCCUUACUUCCUGCUGCUGAGCAGGUGGCCGGUUCUGAGCCCUGCUGACACCAAGUGUGCAGAAAUACAGGCCAGCCCCUCCGUGUCCACCAGGGACAUGGGCAGCCCGCGGGGAUCGCUGGACCAGCGUCUUCACUUGAGCAGGGGCAGGUGCACUGCAGGCAGGCCUACGGCAGCGGCUUCUCUCAGCCUCUGCUGACCCAAGGCCAUUGCAUUUCGCCUUCACGUUGGGGGAGUUUUUGCUGGAUGCUGCCCUUUUUUGGGCUAUGCCUGCUGCAUAUACGUUUCCAGGGCCAAGGGAUCAAACUGGAGCCACUGCUGUGACCUCUGCCAGCACUGCAACAAUGCAGGAUCCUAAACCCGCUGUGCCAUGCGGGGACUUCUUGGAUGUCACGUCCCUGAUGGAGGUUUCGUUCGCGCCUCUGACUGUGUCAUGUCGUGUCUCCUGGUCUCCGUGGUUUCUAAGGAGACACAUGGUCUUAACCUCCCGGGACCCUCUUGGCUUGUUCAGAGUCGCUGGUCUCUUCUUCCAGGCGGCUUUGUUUUCUGACACUUCGUGAUACGUCCAGGGGUGGCUCUGAGUUUAACCACAGUAGAGCUUUCAGCUUACUGGAUGUGCAAAUGCAUUUUUGGAUCUAAUUUGAAGAUACAGCUGAUUUUUUCUUCUUUGGCCACACCCACAGCACAUGAAAGUUCCCAGGCCAGGGAUCAAAUCUGAGCCACAGGUGCAGCAAUACUGGAUCCUUAACCCACUCCCAGAUGUGACUAUUUUCAAACAUUUUUUAUGGCGUUCCCACAUGGCUCAGCAGUUUAAAAAGCCGAUGAGCAGAGUUCCCGUUGUGGCUCAACGGAAACCAAUCUGACUGGUAUUCAUGAGGAUACAGGUUCAAUCCCUGGCCUCACUCAUUGGGUUAAGGCUCUGGUGUUGCCUCAAGCUAUGGUUUAGGUCACAGACACGGCUCUGAUUCCACCCUUGGCCUGGGAACUUCCAUAUGCCAUGGAUGUGGCCCUAAAAAGAAAAUAACAAAACAAAAAUUUUUUCUGCUUUUCUCUUCCUCUUUCCCAGGAACACCAUGACAUACUUGUUACAUUUGCUGGUGUCUCAAAGGCAUUUUCCUUCAUUCUUUGUUUCUCAGACUGUAAAGCCUCAAGCUGAUCUAUGUUAAGUUUUCUGACUCUUUUGUGUGGUCAAAUCUGCUGUUGAAUCCCUCUAGCGAAAUUUUCACUUCUAUUAUUGUAUUUGCAACUCCAGAAUUUCUAUUUGUUUUUUGGGUUUUUUUUCAUGAGUCAACUAUGCAUAUUUCCGUCUAGCCUUUAAUUUUUUCUUUCCUUUUUUCUCUUAAGGCCAUACCCGCGACAUACGGAAGUUCCCAGGCUUGGGGUCAAACCAGAGUUGCAGGCCUAUGCCACAGCCACACCAGAUGUAUGCCACAGCUUCUGGCAACACCAGAUCCUUAACCCACUGAGCGAGGCCAGGGAUCGAACCCGCAUCAUCACAGACACUAUGUUGAGUUCUUAACCCAUCGAGCCCACAAUGGGAACUCCUUUUUUUUUUUUCCCAUCUUCAAAUUUUUUGGCUAUACCCACAGCAUGUGGAAGUUCCUGGGCCAGGGACUGAACCUGUGUCACAGCAAUUACCAGAGACACUGCAAUGGUGACACUGGAUCUUUAACCUGCUGAUCCCAAAGAAACUCCUAUGUGACUUAUUCUUAUUUCUAUCACUUUGAUAUUCGAUUUACAUGUAGGAUUUUUUUUUUUAAAAAAAACUCUUGGAACAUAUUUUAUUCUUUUUGUUUUCUGUUUUUUUACAAAGCCCAUGUUGAGCACUGAUCAGCAGAUUCUGGAAGCCAGGGAGCUGCUCUGCUAUGUGCGAAACCCCAACCCAGAGGCAGGUCUUGCAGAUGGUUUAGCCAGGCUCCCACCAAUGUGCGUGCAUGAAGGGUGAGGGGCAGCCACCUUCACAGCCACACCCCUGUCCCAACCCCUAUCCCAGGACGCAGUGGGAUGCACCGUGCCAGCCAUGGCAGGGGCAGGUGGGGACAGCAGGGGCCCAGCUGUCCAAGGCUCCACUGCCCUGCCCAUGGUCCCACCUGGGGGGACUCCGUCAAAAUCCCUCACCCCACUGGUUCCUCUGCCAAGCAUGUACGCUGGAUCUUGGAACAUGUUCUGAGAAGCUGAUUUAAGGUCUCCGGUCAGCAUGUGUUUGAGGCAUUGAGAGGUUAGCCGUUCGUCGUGUCUGGAAACACGGAGCACAGAGGGGCUGAGAGGAGAAAGCAGCAGAAGCACAGGCUUUGGGGGCCAGAGCUGUGCCACUUACACCUCAGGGAGCUGCUGUCUCAUCCCCGAGAAGGUGCUGAGCCAGAGCAGCGGAGACGAGAAAUGCAAAAAUCACGGCUCUCGUUAAGUCCUAAGUGCCACUGUCUCUGCCUCACAUGCAUCCCGUCGCUGUUGCCUGAAAGCAGCACUGGGCAACUGGUCCUGUGCUGCUGCCUGUGCUCAGGGAGGGCGAGCCGGGCGCGGAAGCCCAGGGCAGAGGGACAGCCUUCCUGUGCACAGGGACGGGGCGCAACUGCAGCCGGCCCCUCUCACUGUCAGGAAUCCGUUCAGCCCCAGGAGCUGGACGGCUCAUCUGGGGGAGAAACACCCCGCUUUUCUCUCAGCAACGCCUGGCCCGUCGGAAGUACAAAUAAAUGCCUCCAACCACA
This is an RNA transcript of Sus scrofa (pig), 8726 nucleotides long. It is a transcript of the gene named nudix hydrolase 16 like 1, with no coding region annotated. The record is from RefSeq and is a predicted model, not a curated record. NCBI's taxonomy places the organism in Eukaryota, Metazoa, Chordata, Mammalia, Artiodactyla, Suidae.